RNAcentral lists this small nucleolar RNA (105 nucleotides) under Mus musculus (house mouse). RNAcentral's name for it is "small nucleolar RNA SNORA28 (ACA28)". It matches the Rfam family "Small nucleolar RNA SNORA28", at positions 22 to 126 of the family's 126-position model. Rfam says of the family: ACA28 is a member of the H/ACA class of snoRNA that guide the sites of modification of uridines to pseudouridines. Lineage: Eukaryota; Metazoa; Chordata; Mammalia; Rodentia; Muridae. The record is from RNAcentral.
UGCAUACAUUCUCUGACACAGUUUGAGCUUACUAAAGCAACAAAGUCUAACCUAUUCCAGUGCUCUCUUUCGCAUGAGGCAAGCUGUCAUACAGGCUCAAAGAAA